RNAcentral lists this ribosomal RNA (468 nucleotides) under uncultured bacterium. Its description in RNAcentral is "partial 16S ribosomal RNA". It matches the Rfam family "Bacterial small subunit ribosomal RNA", at positions 28 to 507 of the family's 1533-position model. The record is from RNAcentral.
GACGAACGCUGGCGGCGUGCUUAACACAUGCAAGUCGAACGGAAAGGCCCUGCUUUUGUGGGGUGCUCGAGUGGCGAACGGGUGAGUAACACGUGUGUAACCUGCCCUUGACUUUGGGAUAACUUCAGGAAACUGGGGCUAAUACCGGAUAGGAGCUCCUGCUGCAUGGUGGGGGUUGGAAAGUUUCGGCGGUUGGGGAUGGACUCGCGGCUUAUCAGCUUGUUGGUGGGGUAGUGGCUUACCAAGGCUUUGACGGGUAGCCGGCCUGAGAGGGUGACCGGCAACAUUGGGACUGAGAUACGGCCAAGACUCCUACGGGAGGAAGCAGUGGGGAAUAUUGAAAAAUGGGGGGAAGCCGGAUGCAGCAACGCCGGGUGCGGGAGGACGGCCUUCGGGUUGAAAACCGCUUUCGCCUGUGACGAAGCGUGAGUGACGGUAAUGGGUAAAGAAGCACCGGCUAACUACGUG